GCUGUCCACAGGGAAGAGCUAGCUGGGUGCCAGAGGCCACUGUUGCCACCCACAGGCCCUGCUCACCUGGCAGGUCCAGAGGGCACACGAGCUGGCAUGCCCAGAGCCCUCUGCCCCACCACCCGUCCCACUCAGGGCUUCACCGUCAGACCUGCCUUUCCCUGCCUCAGCCAGUGGUGGUGACAAGCUGACCUCUGAACUUCUACCUGAUCCCUCCUAGCCCCCC
RNAcentral lists this long non-coding RNA (226 nucleotides) under Homo sapiens (human). RNAcentral's name for it is "LHRI_LNC1797.1". Lineage: Eukaryota; Metazoa; Chordata; Mammalia; Primates; Hominidae. The record is from RNAcentral.